This 484-nucleotide ribosomal RNA is filed under the name uncultured bacterium. Its description in RNAcentral is "partial 16S ribosomal RNA". It matches the Rfam family "Bacterial small subunit ribosomal RNA", at positions 28 to 507 of the family's 1533-position model. The record is from RNAcentral.
GAUUAACGCUAGCGGCAGGCAUAAUACAUGCAAGUUGAACGGCAGCACAGGUAGCACUACUGGGUGGCGAGUGGCGCACGGGUGCGUAACACGUAUGCAACCUACCCUAUACAGGCGAAUAACCUUUAGAAAUGAGGGCUAAUACGCCGUAGUAUUACAGAUGGGCAUCUAUUUGUAAUUAAAGAUUUAUCGGUAUAGGAUGGGCAUGCGUCCCAUUAGUUAGUUGGUAAGGUAACGGCUUACCAAGACGAUGAUGGGUAGGGGAUCUGAGAGGACUUACCCCCACACUGGUACUGAGACACGGACCAGACGCCUACGGGAGGCAGCAGUAAGGAAGAGUGGGCAAUGGCCGCGAGGCUGACCCAGCCAUGCCGCGUGCAGGAAGACGGCCUUAUGGGUGGUAAACUGCUUUUAUACGGGAAGAAUAGAGUGUACGCGUACAUUUAUGCAAGUAUCGUAUGAAUAAGCAUCGGCUAACUCCGUG